GCCAAACAGCUAGCUUAAUAACCUUAUAACUUAAAAAUAUAAAUAAACAAAAUUAGCCUAACACCAAAAACUAAACCAUUCUUUUACCCUAGUAUGAGAGACAGAAAAGGUACCCCAUAAAGCAAUAGAGACAGUACCGUGAGGGAAAGCUGAAAGAGAAAUGAAAUAACCCAUAAAAGCAUUAAAAAGCAAAGACUAAACCUUGUACCUUUUGCAUCAUGAUUUAGCCAGUAUAUCCAAGCAAAGAGACCUUUAGUUUGAUACCCCGAAACCAGGUGAGCUACCCCGAGACAGCCUAUUUAUAGGGCUAACCCGUCUCUGUGGCAAAAGAGUGGGAAGAACUCCGGGUAGAAGUGACAGACCUACCGAACCUGGUGAUAGCUGGUUGCCUAGGAAAUGAAUAAGAGUUCAGCCUCAUUUACCUUAAGUCAAAUUAUAAUUAGGUUAUAUAAGCCUAGAACAAGAUUUCAAGAGAAAUUUAUGAGAGUUAGUUAAAGGGGGUACAGCCCAUUUAACCAAGGACACAACCUUUUCAGGAGGAUAAAGAUCAUAAUAUAUAAAACAUACUGUUUUAGUGGGCCUAAGAGCAGCCAUCUAAACAGAAAGCGUUAAAGCUCAGACAGAUCAAAGUUUAUUAUUCUGAUAACAAAUCUUAUUCCCCUAAAAUCUAUUAGGCCGCCCCAUGCCAACAUGGAAGAGAUUAUGCUAAAAUGAGUAACAAGAAGGCCAGCCCUUCUCCCCAGCACAAGUGUAAGCCAAACUGGACAAACCAUCGGCAACUAACGAACUCAAACAAAGAGAGCAAUGUGAGUUAUACAAAAACCAAGAAAAAUCCACAACAAAACUCGUUAACCCCACACUGGAGUGCCACCAAGGAGUAAGACCAAAAGAAAAGGAAGGAAUUCGGCAAACACAAGCCUCGCCUGUUUACCAAAAACAUCGCCUCCUGCAACACAACUAAGUAUAAGAGGUCCAGCCUGCCCAGUGACAAUAAGUUAAAUGGCCGCGGUAUUUUAACCGUGCAAAGGUAGCGUAAUCACUUGUCUUCUAAAUAAAGACCUGUAUGAAUGGCUAAACGAGGGCUUAACUGUCUCCCUUUUCAAGUCAGUGAAAUUGAUCUGCCCGUGCAGAAGCGGACAUAAAUAUACAAGACGAGAAGACCCUUUGGAGCUUAAGGUACAAAUCUUCAACCACGUCAAGCGACUCGAUAAAAAGCGACAAACUUUGUGGUAUCUGAGAUCAACCUUCGGUUGGGGCGACCAUGGAGUAAAAAAUAUCAUCCAAGUGGAAUGGGACAAACCUUCCCUAAAACCAAGAAAGACAUUUCUAAGCCACAGAAAAUCUGACCAUAAAUGAUCCGGUCAACAUGACCGAUUAACGAAUCAAGUUACCCCAGGGAUAACAGCGCAAUCCCCUCCCAGAGUCCAUAUCGACGAGGGGGUUUACGACCUCGAUGUUGGAUCAGGACAUCCUAAUGGUGCAGCCGCUAUUAAGGGUUCGUUUGUUCAACGAUUAAAGUCCUACGUGAUCUGAGUUCAGACCGGAGUAAUCCAGGUCAGUUUCUAUCUGUAACGCUACUUUUCCUAGUACGAAAGGAUCGGAAAAAGAGGGCCUAUACUCAAAGCACGCCCUACCCCUAAUUUAUGAAAACAAAUAAAUAUAGGUAAGGGAGAGCCAAAAUUUAAAAACCAAAAUAAGGUCAC
RNAcentral lists this ribosomal RNA (1703 nucleotides) under Osteobrama belangeri (pengba). RNAcentral describes it as "16S ribosomal RNA". It matches the Rfam family "Bacterial large subunit ribosomal RNA". The record is from RNAcentral. Lineage: Eukaryota; Metazoa; Chordata; Actinopteri; Cypriniformes; Cyprinidae.